Molecule: RNA transcript, 623 nt
Organism: Mandrillus leucophaeus (drill)
Lineage: Eukaryota; Metazoa; Chordata; Mammalia; Primates; Cercopithecidae
Gene name: very-long-chain enoyl-CoA reductase pseudogene
Exons: 1
Source: RefSeq, a predicted model, not a curated record
AUGAAGCACUAAGAGGUGGAGAUUCUGGAUGCAAAGACAAGGGAGAAGCUGGUUUCCUGGACAAGGUGGAGCCCCAUGCCACCAUUGCGGAGAUCAAGAACCUCUUCACCAAGACCCAUCCGCAGUGGUACCCUGCCCACCAGUCCCUCCACCUGGACCCCAAGGGCAAGUCCCUGAAGGAUGAGGGAUGUUCUGAAGAAGCUGCCCAUGGGCACCACGGCCACACUCUACUUCCGGGACCUGGGGGCCCAGAUCAGCUGGGUGACGGUCUUCCUAACAGAGUACACGGGGUCUUUUUCAUCUAUCUGCUCUUCUACUUCCCAGUGCCCUUCAUUUGUGGCCACAAAUAUGACUUCACAUCCAGUUGGCACACGGUGGUACACCUCCCCUGCAUCCGUCACUCAUUCCACUAUGUCAAACACCUGCUGGAGACGCUCUUCGUGCGCCACUUCUCCCAUGGCACCAUGCCUUUGCCCAACAUCUUCAAGAACUGCACCUACUACGGGGGCUUCAAUGCGUGCCUGGCCUAUUAUAUCAAUCACCUGCCCCCUACUUACGGAGCUCAGCAGGUGAAACUGGCACUCGCCAUCUUCGUGAUCUGCCUGUGCUUGGCGGCUUCUCCA